AAUGAACGCUGGCGGCAGGCCUAACACAUGCAAGUCGAGCGAGCAUUUCGGUGCUAGCGGCGAACGGGUGAGUAACGCGUGGGAACGUGCCCUUUUCUGCGGAAUAGUCCUGGGAAACUGGGGGUAAUACCGCAUACGCCCUUUUGGGGAAAGAUUUAUCGGAGAAGGAUCGGCCCGCGUUGGAUUAGGUAGUUGGUGGGGUAAUGGCCCACCAAGCCGACGAUCCAUAGCUGGUUUGAGAGGAUGAUCAGCCACACUGGGACUGAGACACGGCCCAGACUCCUACGGGAGGCAGCAGUGGGGAAUCUUAGACAAUGGGGGCAACCCUGAUCUAGCCAUGCCGCGUGAGUGAUGAAGGCCUUAGGGUUGUAAAGCUCUUUCAGCUGGGAAGAUAAUGACGGUACCAGCAGAAGAAGCCCCGGCUAACUCCGUG
RNAcentral lists this ribosomal RNA (433 nucleotides) under uncultured bacterium. RNAcentral's name for it is "partial 16S ribosomal RNA". It matches the Rfam family "Bacterial small subunit ribosomal RNA", at positions 29 to 507 of the family's 1533-position model. The record is from RNAcentral.